UCGGCUUGCAGUGGGGAAUAUUGCACAAUGGGGGGAACCCUGAUGCAGCGACGCCGCGUGGAGGAUGAAGGCCUUCGGGUUGUAAACUCCUUUUGUCGGGGACAAUGGUGAUGGUACCUGGCGAAUAAGCCACGGCUAACUCUGUGCCAGCAGCCGCGGUAAGACAGGGGUGGCGAGCGUUGUUCGGAAUUACUGGGCUUAAAGGGCGCGUAGGCGGUGGUGUAAGUCUGGGGUGGAAUGCUACAGCUUAACUGUAGAGCUGCCCUGGAAACUGCAUUACUUGAGUCGGUGAGGGGAAGGUGGAAUUCCAGGUGUAGCGGUGAAAUGCGUAGAUAUCUGGAGGAAGGUCUGUGGCGAAGGCGACCUUCUGGCACUUGACUGACGCUGAGGCGCGAAAGCGUGGGGAGCAAACAGGAUUAGAUACCCCAGUAGUCCAAGCCG
Molecule: ribosomal RNA, 441 nt
Filed under: uncultured Nitrospirota bacterium
Lineage: Bacteria; Pseudomonadati; Nitrospirota
Description: bacterial SSU rRNA
Rfam family: Bacterial small subunit ribosomal RNA
Source: RNAcentral